This 1005-nucleotide ribosomal RNA is filed under the name uncultured Lactobacillus sp. Its description in RNAcentral is "bacterial SSU rRNA". It matches the Rfam family "Bacterial small subunit ribosomal RNA", at positions 1 to 1002 of the family's 1533-position model. The record is from RNAcentral. Lineage: Bacteria; Bacillati; Bacillota; Bacilli; Lactobacillales; Lactobacillaceae.
CGGGGGGUGCUAUUAAUGCAGUCGACGCGUUGGCCCAACUGAUUGAGCGUGCUUGCACGGACUUGACGUUGGUUUACCAGCGAGUGGCGGACGGGUGAGUAACACGUAGGUAACCUGCCCCAAAGCGGGGGAUAACAUUUGGAAACAGAUGCUAAUACCGCAUAACAAUUUGAAUCGCAUGAUUCAAAUUUAAAAGAUGGCUUUGGCUAUCACUUUGGGAUGGACCCGCGGCGCAUUAGCUUGUUGGUAGGGUAACGGCCUACCAAGGCUGUGAUGCGUAGCCGAGUUGAGAGACUGAUCGGCCACAAUGGAACUGAGACACGGUCCAUACUCCUACGGGAGGCAGCAGUAGGGAAUCUUCCACAAUGGGCGCAAGCCUGAUGGAGCAACACCGCGUGAGUGAAGAAGGGUUUCGGCUCGUAAAGCUCUGUUGUUAGAGAAGAACGUGCGUGAGAGCAACUGUUCACGCAGUGACGGUAUCUAACCAGAAAGUCACGGCUAACUACGUGCCAGCAGCCGCGGUAAUACGUAGGUGGCAAGCGUUAUCCGGAUUUAUUGGGCGUAAAGCGAGCGCAGGCGGUUUGAUAAGUCUAAUGUGAAAGCCUUUGGCUUAACCAAAGAAGUGCAUCGGAAACUGUCAGACUUGAGUGCAGAAGAGGACAGUGGAACUCCAUGUGUAGCGGUGGAAUGCGUAGAUAUAUGGAAGAACACCAGUGGCGAAGGCGGCUGUCUGGUCUGCAACUGACGCUGAGGCUCGAAAGCAUGGGUAGCGAACAGGAUUAGAUACCCUGGUAGUCCAUGCCGUAAACGAUGAGUGCUAGGUGUUGGAGGGUUUCCGCCCUUCAGUGCCGCAGCUAACGCAUUAAGCACUCCGCCUGGGGAGUACGACCGCAAGGUUGAAACUCAAAGGAAUUGACGGGGGCCCGCACAAGCGGUGGAGCAUGUGGUUUAAUUCGAAGCUACGCGAAGAACCUUACCAGGUCCUGACAUCUUGCGCCAACCCUA